This 1764-nucleotide ribosomal RNA is filed under the name uncultured bacterium. RNAcentral describes it as "bacterial LSU rRNA". It matches the Rfam family "Bacterial large subunit ribosomal RNA", at positions 1286 to 2925 of the family's 2925-position model. The record is from RNAcentral.
GAGUGAGAAUGCAGACAUGAGUAGCGAGAGACGGGUGAGGAUCCCGUCCGCUGGAUGACCAAGGGUUCCGGGGCCACGUUCGUCGUCCCCGGGUGAGUCGGGUCCUAAGGCGAGGCCGACAGGCGUAGUCGAAUGGAUGAACGGGUGGAUAUUCCCGUACCGGCGGCGUACCGUAAGAGCCGAACGGAUGAGUACUAACCUCCGGUCGCGUGGCGUCGUUCCCUUCGGGGUUCGGGGUCCGCGGUCGUUGGGAGCGUAGUCCUGGUAGGCUAGCGCACAGGGGUGACACGGAAUGGGAGCCGGCCGCGGAGGUGGUUUUCCGUGGUCAAGCACGCAGCCCGUCCCAUAGGCAAAUCCGUGGGACGCAUAGGGUGAGGUGUGAUGAUGGGCGUCUUUUAUGGCGCGAUAUCCGGUGGUCCAGGCCGUCGAGAAAAGCCUCGGCGCGAGGGGCGUCGCCGCCCGUACCCCAAACCGACACUGGUGGUCAGGUAGAGAAUACCAAGGCGAUCGAGCGAAUCCUGGUCAAGGAACUCGGCAAAUCACUCCCGUGCCUUCGGUAUAAGGGAGACCCCCGGGCGUGAAGAGGCUUGCCCUCGGAGCGUUGGGGGGUGGCACAGACCAGGGGGUAGCGACUGUUUACCAAAAACACAGGUGCAUGCGAAGGCGCAAGCCGCUGUAUAUGCACUGACGCCUGCCCGGUGCCGGAAGGUUAAGAGGAUCCGUCAGUCCCUUUUGGGGUGAAGCGGUGAAUUCAAGCCCCGGUAAACGGCGGUGGUAACUAUAACCAUCCUAAGGUAGCGAAAUUCCUUGUCGGGUAAGUUCCGACCUGCACGAAUGGCGUAACGACUUCCCCACUGUCUCGACCAGGAGCUCGGCGAAAUUGCAGUACGAGUAAAGAUGCUCGUUAAGCGCAGAAGGACGAAAAGACCCCGGGACCUUUACUAUACCUUGGUAUUGGCGUUAGGCGCGGAUUGUGUAGCAUAGGCGGGAGGCUUCGAAGCAUGGGCGCCAGCCCGUGUGGAGCCGCAAGGUGAAAUACCGCUCUGUUCUCGUUUGACGUCUAACCUCGAACAGUCAUCCUGUUCAGGGACAGUGCCUGGCGGGUAGUUUAACUGGGGCGGUUGCCUCCCAAAGAGUAACGGAGGCGCUCAAAGGUCCGCUCAGCCCGGUUGGCAAUCGGGUUUCGAGUGUAAUCGCACAAGCGGGCUUGACUGCGAGACUGACGGGUCGAGCAGGCACGAAAGUCGGAACUAGUGAUCCGGUGCCGGUGUACGGACGCGGCAUCGCUCAACGGAUAAAAGGUACCCCGGGGAUAACAGGCUGAUCAUUCCCAAGAGUCCAUAUCGACGGGAUGGUUUGGCACCUCGAUGUCGGCUCGUCGCAUCCUGGGGCUGGAGCAGGUCCCAAGGGUUCGGCUGUUCGCCGAUUAAAGCGGUACGCGAGCUGGGUUCAGAACGUCGUGAGACAGUUUGGUCUCUAUCCUCUGCGCUCGUUGGAAUCCUGAGGAGGCCUGCCCAUAGUACGAGAGGACCUGGGUGGACGGACCUCUGGUAUGCCGGUUGUCGCGCCAGCGGCAUGGCCGGUUGGCUACGUUCGGGAGGGAUAACCGCUGAAAGCAUCUAAGCGGGAAGCCUGCUCCAAGAUUAGGAUUCCUUGGCACUUCGGUGCCUGUAGCCCGCAUGUUGAACACGUGUUCGAUAGGCCGGAGGUGGAAGCCCCGCGAGGGGUGGAGCCGACCGGUACUAACGGGCGAACGCGGCACAC